Carassius gibelio (silver crucian carp) is the source of this 1281-nucleotide long non-coding RNA. RefSeq lists it as uncharacterized. The transcript is spliced from 2 exons. Lineage: Eukaryota; Metazoa; Chordata; Actinopteri; Cypriniformes; Cyprinidae. The record is from RefSeq and is a predicted model, not a curated record.
GCCGCCCUUCAUUCACCCACAUGGUUCAAGGCAGGUCGCCUUCGCGCCACUUUUGCAAUUUUACUACGAUUAAGAAAGUCGUUUUAGCAGAAGUUUCACUUCACUUUGGAUGCGCGCCGCGUGCGUUACGUUCGAGCUCGGUCCACUUUUAAGUUUACGCACCAGUUUCGCAGAUUUGUCCAGAGCUGUGGCAGUAAACGGCAAGUGAAGAUGGUGGAUUUCACUGAAACCUCAAGAAAGAUGGGAGUAGUUUCCCGCAAGUUCACUGGAGGCUUUGUCCACUGGACGUUGUUGUGUUGAUGGUGUGGACGUGGUUGGAGUCAGUGUAUUGUCAAAGUGCUUACAGUGCAGGUAGUAUUAUGGAAUAUCUACUGCAGUGGAGGCACUUCUAGCAAUACACUUGGCCAUUGCUUUUUCCCUCCGCCAAACAUCCUUCACCAAGACCCCAUACUAACGGCUUUGUGCUAAGGUGCAUCUAGUGCAGAUAGUGAAGUAGACUAGCACCUACUGCCCUAAGUGCUCCUUCUGGCACGAGGGACUGUGACUUUCAUCCUUGUUUGCAAAUUAAGUCAUAGUUUUUCUUGUCUUUUGGUGCAGUUCUCUGCUAGUUUUGCAUAGUUGCACUACAAGAAAACCGGAGUUGUGCAAAUCUAUGCAAAACUGAUGGUGGCCUGCUGCUUCUCCACGUUUCCCAAAUUUCAGUUGGAAGUCUGAAAAGCGGUGUCCCCCACCAACCAUUCUUUUAAAUAAAACCUGCCAUUGUGUUAGAGUUUCAGCAGUGCUAAAGUGCUUAUAGUGCAGGUAGUAUUUCUGUCAUCUACUGCAGUGUGAGCACUUGAAGUACUUCUAGCUAAAUGCAUCUGGGAUCUGAAGACCCUUGCCGAACACUCCUAGGUCUCUGGACGCUGUGUAUCCUUGCUGGACCCCAGUCAGUUUUGCUGGUUUGCAUCCAGCUUAAGACAGCGCGCUGUGCAAAUCCAUGCAAAACUGACAGUGGCAGCCCAUCCAAGAACCGCUUUUGGAGCCGUUUGGUCCCUUUCUGCACAGGUUGGGAUUAGUAGCAAUGCUGUGUGUUUGGAAGGUAUUGCACUUGUCCCGGCCUGUAGAGGAUUGUGGAGAUUGUACCCCACAAUUUAAAUUCCCUAGAAUACCCAUUCUUUUCCAUAAAUGCAGUUUUUACUAUAUUUUUUUUUGUGAGCUUGAAUAUUCAGGAGUUUUCUUUUUUUUUUAUACAUUGUAUGUUUUUAAAUGAAAACAUUGUCAAUAAACGAUUAAGAUAUG